RNAcentral lists this ribosomal RNA (507 nucleotides) under uncultured bacterium. Its description in RNAcentral is "partial 16S ribosomal RNA". It matches the Rfam family "Bacterial small subunit ribosomal RNA", at positions 28 to 507 of the family's 1533-position model. The record is from RNAcentral.
GACGAACGCUGGCGGCGUGCCUAAUACAUGCAAGUCGAACGCAUUUUCUUUCACCGUAGCUUGCUACACCGAAAGAAAAUGAGUGGCGAACGGGUGAGUAACACGUGGGUAACCUGCCCAUCAGCGGGGGAUAACACUUGGAAACAGGUGCUAAUACCGCAUAAUUCCAUUUACCGCAUGGUAGAUGGAUGAAAGGCGCUUUUGCGUCACUGAUGGAUGGACCCGCGGUGCAUUAGCUAGUUGGUGGGGUAACGGCCUACCAAGGCUGCGAUGCAUAGCCGACCGGAGAGGGGGAUCGGCCACACUGGGACUGAGACACGGCCCAGACUCCUACGGGAGGCAGCAGUAGGGAAUCUUCGGCAAGGGACGCAAGUCUGACCGAGCAACGCCGCGUGAGUGAAGAAGGGUUUCGGAUCGUAAAACUCUGUUGUUAGAGAAGAACAAGGAUGAGAGUGGAAAGUUCAUCCCUUGACGGUAUCUAACCAGAAAGCCACGGCUAACUACGUG